UAAAGAAUUUCGGUAUGGGAUGGGGAUGCGUUCCAUUAGUUAGUUGGCGGGGUAACGGCCCACCAAGACAACGAUGGAUAGGGGUUCUGAGAGGAAGGUCCCCCACAUUGGAACUGAGACACGGUCCAAACUCCUACGGGAGGCAGCAGUGAGGAAUAUUGGUCAAUGGACGAGAGUCUGAACCAGCCAAGUAGCGUGAAGGAUGACUGCCCUAUGGGUUGUAAACUUCUUUUAUAUGGGAAUAAAACGCUCCACGCGUGGGAUUUUGUAUGUACCAUAUGAAUAAGGAUCGGCUAACUCCGUGCCAGCAGCCGCGGUAAUACGGAGGAUCCGAGCGUUAUCCGGAUUUAUUGGGUUUAAAGGGAGCGUAGGUGGAUUGUUAAGUCAGUUGUGAAAGUUUGCGGCUCAACCGUAAAAUUGCAGUUGAAACUGGCAGUCUUGAGUACAGUAGAGGUGGGCGGAAUUCGUGGUGUAGCGGUGAAAUGCUUAGAUAUCACGAAGAACUCCGAUUGCGAAGGCAGCUCACUGGACUGCAACUGACACUGAGGCUCGAAAGUGUGGGUAUCAAACAGGAUUAGAUACCCUGGUAGUCCACACAGUAAACGAUGAAUACUCGCUGUUUGCGAUAUAC
RNAcentral lists this ribosomal RNA (631 nucleotides) under uncultured bacterium. RNAcentral describes it as "bacterial SSU rRNA". It matches the Rfam family "Bacterial small subunit ribosomal RNA", at positions 202 to 834 of the family's 1533-position model. The record is from RNAcentral.